UACGGAGGGGGCUAGCGUUGUUCGGAAUUACUGGGCGUAAAGCGCACGUAGGCGGCUUUGUAAGUUAGAGGUGAAAGCCCAGGGCUUAACCCUGGAAUUGCCUUUAAGACUGCAUCGCUAGAAUCGUGGAGAGGUGAGUGGAAUUCCGAGUGUAGAGGUGAAAUGCGUAGAGAUCCGGAGGAACACCAAAGGCGAAGGCAGUGUCCUGGGGAGUACCUGACGCUCAGGUGCGAAAGCCAGGGGAGCGAACGGG
This 253-nucleotide ribosomal RNA is filed under the name uncultured bacterium. RNAcentral describes it as "partial 16S ribosomal RNA". It matches the Rfam family "Bacterial small subunit ribosomal RNA", at positions 524 to 776 of the family's 1533-position model. The record is from RNAcentral.